Molecule: ribosomal RNA, 434 nt
Filed under: uncultured archaeon
Lineage: Archaea
Description: bacterial SSU rRNA
Rfam family: Archaeal small subunit ribosomal RNA
Source: RNAcentral
GGACCUGACUGCUAUCGGAUUGAUACUAAGCCAUGCUAGUCUUUGUAGUAAUACAAGGCAUACGGCUCAGUAACGCGUAGUCAACCUACCCUAUGGACAAGAAUAAUCUCGGGAAACUGAGCAUAAUUCUUGAUAGAUCAUAAUGCCUGGAAUGGUUUAUGGUUAAAAUGAUUCGUCGCCAUAGGAUGGGACUGCGGCCUAUCAGCUUGUUGGUGAGGUAAUGGCCCACCAAGGCGAUUACAGGUACGGGCUCUGAGAGGAGAAGCCCGGAGAUGGGUACUGAGACAAGGACCCAGGCCCUAUGGGGCGCAGCAGGCGAGAAAACUUUGCAAUGUGCGAAAGCACGACAAGGUUAAUCCGAGUGAUUUCUGCUAAAGGAAUCUUUUGUUAGUUCUAAAAAUACUAGUGAAUAAGGGGUGGGCAAGUUCUGGUGU